RNAcentral lists this transfer RNA (73 nucleotides) under Ailuropoda melanoleuca (giant panda). It matches the Rfam family "tRNA". Rfam says of the family: Transfer RNA (tRNA) molecules are approximately 80 nucleotides in length. Their secondary structure includes four short double-helical elements and three loops (D, anti-codon, and T loops). Further hydrogen bonds mediate the characteristic L-shaped molecular structure. tRNAs have two regions of fundamental functional importance: the anti-codon, which is responsible for specific mRNA codon recognition, and the 3' end, to which the tRNAs corresponding amino acid is attached (by aminoacyl-tRNA synthetases). tRNAs cope with the degeneracy of the genetic code in two manners: having more than one tRNA (with a specific anti-codon) for a particular amino acid; and 'wobble' base-pairing, i.e. permitting non-standard base-pairing at the 3rd anti-codon position. The record is from Rfam by way of RNAcentral. Lineage: Eukaryota; Metazoa; Chordata; Mammalia; Carnivora; Ursidae.
GCCUGGCUGGCUCCUUCAGUAGAGCACAAGACUCUUGAUCUUGGGGUCAUGAGUUUGAACCCCAUGUGGGGCA